CAGCCGUAAACUAUGCUCGCUAGGUGUCAGGCAUGGCGCGACCGUGUCUGGUGCCGCAGGGAAGCCGUGAAGCGAGCCACCUGGGAAGUACGGCCGCAAGGCUGAAACUUAAAGGAAUUGGCGGGGGAGCACAACAACGGGUGGAGCCUGCGGUUUAAUUGGACUCAACGCCGGACAACUCACCGGGGACGACAGCAAUAUGUAGGCCAGGCUGAAGACCUUGCCUGAAUCGCUGAGAGGAGGUGCAUGGCUAGACGUCU
Molecule: ribosomal RNA, 260 nt
Filed under: uncultured archaeon
Lineage: Archaea
Description: partial 16S ribosomal RNA
Rfam family: Archaeal small subunit ribosomal RNA
Source: RNAcentral